This is a non-coding RNA of Erythranthe guttata (spotted monkey flower), 713 nucleotides long. NCBI's taxonomy places the organism in Eukaryota, Viridiplantae, Streptophyta, Magnoliopsida, Lamiales, Phrymaceae. The record is from RefSeq and is a predicted model, not a curated record.
AGAAAAUCUGGAGCCUCACAGUGGCGCACGUGACAAGUAUCCUGGGAAAGCCAAUAGCAGAUUAUCAUCUCAACAACAACAAACAAACGUAUCACCAAUUCUUUGUUCUGAAUCGCCAAAUUAAAAUUCCCCUUUUUUAAUUGUGCGCCACAAUUUUGACCUUGCAAACAAACAAACCCUUCCUCUUUCCUUCUCAAUUCAAUCGCCCAUCGCAACUCCGUUUAAUCAAACUCUCUCUCUCUCUCUCUCUCUCUCUCUCUCUCUCUCUACAUGUAGCCUUCUGUAUGUACAGGUGGUGCGGCGAAAAAGGAAGGGUAAAUAUAUUUCGUCAAGCUGCAGUUAUUUUCCCAGAGUAAUUAUUACACCAAUCAAUCAAUCAACCAGAGUUUCAGUGUUCACCAAUCCCGAGGAGGCUUCAUCUUUCUUGUCGGCAUUGUCAAAUUUGAUGCGUAGGUUCUCUACGAGUAGUCGGGCUGGCUGCUGGUGGAUCGAUCUGAUGUGGAUGCCGAUGCUAGAAAUUGAUUUUAAAUUCGGUAAUGACUUCUCCGAAAUCGUAGUUAUUAAUUACUAUGUAUUUGCUUCUAGGACAUGAAUUCGUCUGUUAUAUAAACAUUGUAUGAUGUAGAUAUAUAUAUUUUUUUCUGUAUUUGAAAUGUUUUAAAGUGUACUCGCAGACUAUGAAAUUGAGUAUUCGACCUGUGAUUUUCUCAGGA